Molecule: long non-coding RNA, 594 nt
Organism: Fukomys damarensis (Damara mole-rat)
Lineage: Eukaryota; Metazoa; Chordata; Mammalia; Rodentia; Bathyergidae
Exons: 3
Source: RefSeq, a predicted model, not a curated record
GCCACCUUUUUUUCUUUUCUUUCUUGGAGAUAUUCCUUCAAGAGCUUCUGUUUUUUUUUGCCUGACUACUCUGCUGGUCUCUGGGCUUGAUCACAGGUGCUCAGAAGCCAAGGAAUGAGUCACCCAUUAGUCCGACAGCACACUGCAGUGCAUUUUGUCUCUGGUAUCCAGGAGCUCUUACUCUACUUUGGGCAAGUACAUAAGAGCUGAACAAAUGGCUAAAAAGUAUAAGAUGGAAGGAUUUAAGACUGAUCCAUGUUCCAGACAACCCAUGGACAUCAGUUUUGAGGCCACAGCUCCAGCUCUAAUGUAUAUGCCCACCCAGUCAGCUGGAUGGCAAAGGCAGCCACUAUCUGACAGCCUUCAGAGAACCCUGGGCUGGAAGGUGCCCGCUGCUCAGAGAAAAGCUCUGCAUAGACUGACCUGACUCUCAGCCCCUCUCCAAAAACAAAAAGAAAAAACAUCAUAAAAAGCUCCAGGGAGAUGUUUUGAAUGAUCUUCUCUCCAUGCUAAUGAUCUCGACAGGGUUCAUCUUUUAAAAGAAAGAUAAAGUAGUUAAAUAAAGACAAAAAUCUGUUUCUACAUGUGCAUAUU